UGACAGGGUGAUUGAUGGCAGGCAUCUCUGU
RNAcentral lists this non-coding RNA (31 nucleotides) under Homo sapiens (human). Lineage: Eukaryota; Metazoa; Chordata; Mammalia; Primates; Hominidae. The record is from RNAcentral.